GACAGAGGUGCCAAGCGUUAGGCGGAAUCACUGGGCUUAAAGCGUGUGUAGGCGGAUGUCUAAGUACCUUGUGAAAUCCCACGGCUCAACCGUGGAACUGCUUGGUAUACUGGAUGUCUUGAGCCAUCUAGGGGCUACCGGAACAAAUGGUGGAGCGGUGAAAUGCGUAGAUAUCGGGAGGAACACCUGUGGCGAAAGCGGCGCACUGGACCACAUCUGACGCUGAGGCGCGAAAGCUAGGGGAGCAAACAGG
RNAcentral lists this ribosomal RNA (253 nucleotides) under uncultured bacterium. RNAcentral's name for it is "partial 16S ribosomal RNA". It matches the Rfam family "Bacterial small subunit ribosomal RNA", at positions 524 to 776 of the family's 1533-position model. The record is from RNAcentral.